AAAAAUGAGAAAAUUGAAAACCAACGGUAGUACAUGAAAGCAAUGUAUUUUCUCCUUACAUCCCUUUUCUAACAUAAAAAUAAGGGGGGGGGGGGAGAGGGGACAGAAGCGGUUUUGGGGCUUCGUGUGCCAUUGGAUUACUGAUAAUAUUGCGCGUAAAACCCCCAACCCAAUUUGUAGUUUCACCAGUUUCGAAAGCAGCGCCGUUGUCGCCUGAAAUCGCCAGUGGAGGAAUAUCGUUCAAUCUCAAAUUGGAGUCGUUGUGUAUUGAAUCUAAUUGGGCUUUCUAGAUGGUUAUCUUCGCCUCUUGUAAGCGCCCCUUUUGGUAUUGAGAAUCGACCUUUUCGCCGGUCUGAACACCGUCGCCGACAGAAAAUAAUACAUCGCCGGAGCUGAUUAGAUUAGGCUUGAUAUUUAAAUAUUAUUUUUUAAAACCCGUUUGCCAUGUAUUUUUUUAAUUGGUCAUUUUUGCCAUGUCAUGCAAGUGUGUUAUACACAUUCUAUACCUUUGCUGAUUGUUCAAAAAAGGCCUAGGUGGAUCAAAUUUCGGGUGAGUUAGGGGCCUGAUAGAUACAAGUCUGAGUUGAGGGAUUCAAGUGAAAUUUCAAAACAAGUUUAAGGACAUAUCGAUGACUUAAGUCUAUUUAACAGAUCACGCUGAACACCACAAUUUCUAUGAAAUUUAAAAAGUAUAAUAAAAAUCAUAAUUUCUUUGUUAAACUAUGUAGUCAAUCAAACAUGGUCAUGUAAAGUGAAAAUAGAGGAAAUAAUUUAUCUUUUACCCCUUUCUUUUGGGGAAGUGAGAGAGGAGUUUGAAAUAGUUGUUAUUUUUCUCAGAUUUCAAAAUGAAAUAUAAGUUCUAUUUAAUAAUCAUGCACCUAUGUUUUAACCACUAGUAAAUUAGAUUAUGAAUAUGUGUAGUUUGGGUAAUGAAGAUAUUUAGCUAAUCAUUAUUGGAUGGAUUUUUAACCACUAGACCAGAUUAUAGAUAUGUUUGGCUUGGGUAAUGAAGAUAUUUAGCUAAUCAUUAUUUGGAUGGAUUUUUAACCUCUUAGUCCAGAGUCUAGACUAAAAUAUGGAUAUGUUUGGUUUGGUUAAUGAAGAUAUUUUAACUAAUCCCUAUUUGGAUGGAUAAUUGACCAAAGUUAAAUCAUAGCAUUCAAUAGUAUUUGAUUAUUGUACCCUAGAAAGUACUUUGUCCUAUUAAUUAACACUGGUUUUAACUUUAAAAUGGACCCAAUAAAAUUAUGACUAAAUUUGAUGAAACAAUAGAAAAUAACAUUGGUAGUUUUGGAACAUAAAUUAUUCAAGUACAUUUUGAGGAAUAUGUUACUUUUGUAGAUUUUGAGGUCAAGAAAGUUCAUAACCAUUUCGAGAGAAAUGUAGUAUUCUGCACCUUUAUCACACGUCUGCCAAUUAAUUAACCGAAUUCUUGAUAGUAACAUGUACUAAUAAGUAGAAAAAACUUCCCUAUCUGCAAAAAACUUUAGGUUGUAGUUUAACUUUUAUGUUAUUCCACUUUGGAGUAAAAAACAAGUGAACCCAUCCAAUUUUACUUAUUUAAGUAGAUGUUCAACAAUGAGUUUAAUUUGUAGAUUCGUUUUAUCUAUUUUAUUUUGUAUCUCUCAUCUUGAAUUAUAUUGAGAAAUUAUCUUAAGCUUCUAGAAAUUGUUAGCCGGCGCACAAUGUUGGGAAACUCUCUCAACAGGUUCUCCCUGUGAAUGAAUUGAUCGGCAGUAUACUUAGACUCAUCAUGCUUUGCAUAUCAUUUUUGUCUAGCCUAAACGACCCAUCUAGUGCCAUACCUCCUAGAUUGCCCAUGUGGGAGAACCGGAGGGUGAGACGCACCACCACUUUGUCUAUUCCGUUUUCAUGCUGGCUCAGAAGGUCCCGCCAUGGCCUUGCCUCUUUGUUGUCGACCAGACAUAUCACCUUAGUGGUCUUGAAGAAGAUGAAAGAGAGCUCCUCUGUGCUUGAGUGAAAAGAACAAAGUUUGGAGGAGAGUAUUUUGCUAAGGGAAUUAAGUGGCGGCGCGGG
Molecule: long non-coding RNA, 2037 nt
Filed under: Capsicum annuum
Lineage: Eukaryota; Viridiplantae; Streptophyta; Magnoliopsida; Solanales; Solanaceae
Description: long non-coding RNA (CANN_LNC006917)
Source: RNAcentral